RNAcentral lists this ribosomal RNA (158 nucleotides) under Glomus sp. 1v17.2. RNAcentral describes it as "5.8S ribosomal RNA". It matches the Rfam family "5.8S ribosomal RNA". Rfam says of the family: 5.8S ribosomal RNA (5.8S rRNA) is a component of the large subunit of the eukaryotic ribosome. It is transcribed by RNA polymerase I as part of the 45S precursor that also contains 18S and 28S rRNA. Functionally, it is thought that 5.8S rRNA may be involved in ribosome translocation. Lineage: Eukaryota; Fungi; Glomeromycota; Glomeromycetes; Glomerales; Glomeraceae. The record is from RNAcentral.
UCACUUUCAACAACGGAUCUCUUGGCUCUCGCAUCGAUGAAGAACGUAGCGAAGUGCGAUAAGUAGUGUGAAUUGCAGAAUUCCGUGAAUCAUCGAAUCUUUGAACGCAAAUUGCACUCCCUGGUAUUCCGGGGAGUAUGCCUGUUUGGGGGUCAGUU